This 497-nucleotide ribosomal RNA is filed under the name uncultured bacterium. Its description in RNAcentral is "partial 16S ribosomal RNA". It matches the Rfam family "Bacterial small subunit ribosomal RNA", at positions 28 to 507 of the family's 1533-position model. The record is from RNAcentral.
GACGAACGCUGGCGGCGUGCCUAAUACAUGCAAGUAGAACGCUGAAGCGAGGAGCUUGCUCUUCUUGGAUGAGUUGCGAACGGGUGAGUAACGCGUAGGUAACCUGCCUGGUAGCGGGGGAUAACUAUUGGAAACGAUAGCUAAUACCGCAUAAAAUUGAUUAUUGCAUGAUAAUUAAUUGAAAGAUGCAACUGCAUCACUACCAGAUGGACCUGCGUUGUAUUAGCUAGUUGGUGAGGUAACGGCUCACCAAGGCGACGAUACAUAGCCGACCUGAGAGGGUGAUCGGCCACACUGGGACUGAGACACGGCCCAGACUCCUACGGGAGGCAGCAGGAGGGAAUCUUCGGCAAUAGGGGGAACCCUGACCGAGCAACGCCGCGUGAGUGAAGAAGGUUUUCGAAUCGUAAAGCUCUGUUGUAAGAGAAGAACGGGUGUGAGAGUGGAAAGUUCACACUGUGACGGUAUCUUACCAGAAAGGGACGGCUAACUACGUG